RNAcentral lists this long non-coding RNA (232 nucleotides) under Trifolium pratense (red clover). RNAcentral describes it as "long non-coding RNA (TPRA_LNC004366)". The record is from RNAcentral. Lineage: Eukaryota; Viridiplantae; Streptophyta; Magnoliopsida; Fabales; Fabaceae.
UCCCGCCAUUGCUAUUGCUUAAAGCUUGUUCCAAGCUUGUUCCUGUUGAGGAUUGAUCUUGCUUGAGGUUGUUGAAGCUCUUCUAAACCUUAUACAAUCUCCCUUAGAUUGUGUAAGUCACUGAAUAGAGAUAUGAGGCUUAGGGAACCAAAACAAGGGUUGCACUCUAUUUAUAAUUUUUGUCCAUCACAAAAAUAUCUUAAGUGCAAUCAUAACUGCCACACUAUCUUUA